AUGUCUAAAUAUUGGUGGGGAGAUGAUGAUCUGCAAAAACACAUGCACUGGUUUGCUUGGUGGAAAAUAUGUGUCCCGAAGGAAAAGGGUGGAAUGGGUUUUAGAGACUUGCAUUGUUUUAAUUUGGUUCUUCUCGCAAAGCAGUGUUGGAGGUUGUUAUGUGAACCAAAUUCUUUAUGUGCUAGAGUUUUGAGAGCCAAAUAUUUUCCUGAUGGAGACCUUCUUAACUGCGGCCUUAAGAAGGGUAGUUCUUAUACAUGGCGGAGUCUAUGGAGUGGAAUUCAGUCUUUUAAGCGAGGGCAUAUUUGAAGAGUUGGAGAUGGGGCACAAAUUAACAUCUGGGAAGACCCUUGGAUACCAAGUAGUCCUACUCGAAAGUUAAUGACACCAAGAGGUAACAUUGUGAUCACAAAAGUUUAUGAACUCAUUGAUACAGAAAAUAGAGUGUGGGAUGAACAGUUGAUAUCGGAGUUGUUUUGGCCUAUUGAUGUGCAACACAUAUUAAAUAUCCAACUGGCUUUGGGGAUGAUGGAUGAUUUUGUGUCAUGGCACCAUAAUAGAAGUGGAAUAUUUUCGGUUAGAUCGGCAUACCAUGAAGAGUGGGAGCAUCAACACGGACGAAAGUUGAGGAUGACUAACUCUAUACAAGCCUCAAGUACUAGUCCAGUUUGCGUGUGCCGGCAAAAAUAA
This 690-nucleotide ribosomal RNA is filed under the name Triticum aestivum (bread wheat). RNAcentral's name for it is "partial small subunit ribosomal RNA". Lineage: Eukaryota; Viridiplantae; Streptophyta; Magnoliopsida; Poales; Poaceae. The record is from RNAcentral.